CCUACGUGUGGCAGCAGUGGGGAAUAUUGGUCAAUGGAGGCAACUCUUACCCAGCAAUGCCGCGUGAAUGAAGAAGGUCUUCGGAUUGUUAAGUUCUUUUAUUGGGGACGAAAAAAAUGACGGUACCCAAGGAAUAAGUCUCGUCUAACUACGAGCCAGCAGCCGCGGGAAUACGUAGGCGGCAGUAGUUGUUCGGAUUGACUGGGCGUCAAGGGUGUGUGGGCGGGGUAGCAAGUUAGAAGGGAAAUACCUAGGGCUGAACCCCGGUGCUGCAUGUGAAACUGCUAUACUUGAGUGCAGGAGAGGAAAGUGGAAUUCCUGGUGUAGCGGUGGAAUGCGUAGAUAUUAGGAGGAACAUCAGUUGCGAAGGCGACUUUCUGGACUGUAACUGACGCUGAGGCACGAAAGUGUGGGGAGCAAACAGGAUUAGAUACCCGGGUAGUC
Molecule: ribosomal RNA, 444 nt
Filed under: uncultured bacterium
Lineage: Bacteria
Description: partial 16S ribosomal RNA
Rfam family: Bacterial small subunit ribosomal RNA
Source: RNAcentral